AGCGAACGCUGGCGGCAGGCCUAACACAUGCAAGUCGAACGGAUCCUUCGGGAUUAGUGGCGGACGGGUGAGUAACACGUGGGAACGUGCCCUUUGGUUCGGAACAACUCAGGGAAACUUGAGCUAAUACCGGAUGUGCCCUUCGGGGGAAAGAUUUAUCGCCAUUGGAGCGGCCCGCGUCUGAUUAGCUAGUUGGUGAGGUAACGGCCCACCAAGGCGACGAUCAGUAGCGGGUCUGAGAGGAUGAUCAGCCUCACUGGGACUGAGACACGGCCCAGACUCCUACGGGAGGCAGCAGUGGGGAAUCUUGCGCAAUGGGCGAAAGCCUGACGCAGCCAUGCCGCGUGAAUGAUGAAGGUCUGAGGAUUGUAAAAUUCUUUCAGCGGGGACGAUAAUGACGGUACCCGCAGAAGAAGCUCCGGCUAACUUCGUG
Molecule: ribosomal RNA, 433 nt
Filed under: uncultured bacterium
Lineage: Bacteria
Description: partial 16S ribosomal RNA
Rfam family: Bacterial small subunit ribosomal RNA
Source: RNAcentral